CAAUANGUGAAACCGUUUAGGGGUAAACCUGAGAAACCCGAAAGGUCGAAGGGAGAAAUUCAUUCGCGUUUCGACGCCUGGCGACGGACGGAUUUUCGGAUUGGACGAGACGUAAACGCGUCGAGUGCGGCGCGCGCGUUCUUCACGGAUCGCGCGCGUUUUGUGCUCGUUCGCGUGCGAUUUCGCGCCGUCCGUCCGUCGAACCGACGACGAACGCGUGCACUUUUCUCCUGGUAGGACGUCGCGAUCCGUCGGGCGUCGGUCUACGACUUGCGGUGGAGCCCGUUCGUCGUCGUUCACGCGACGCGUACGAACGGACCCGCUCGUUCCGGCCGACACGCUCGACGGUAGUAAUAUCGAGGUCGAAGGUCGCUGCAUUAUUAAAAAGCGUUCGACUCGUCGCAAGCGCGUCACGUGCGACGGCACGCGGACCCGGUGCCGCGUCCGUCCUCUGGCGACUGUUGGCGACGAAGUUCUCGAACAGACCGCUCGGACCGAUCUGCGACGCUAUAGCUUUGGGUACUUUCAGGACCCGUCUUGAAACACGGACCAAGGAGUCUAGCAUGUACGCGAGUCAUUGGGAUAUUGACUAAACCUAAAGGCGUAAUGAAAGUGAAGAGAUCGCACGCGUCGUCGUGCGUGUCGCGCGUUUCUUCGUGCGCGUGCGUCGCGUCGCGAUUUUUCUCCUUCGCGGGGGAAUGUCGCGCGCGCGGUCGUGCUCGUGCUGGAGCGUGCGGGCGCGCGCGUCCGCGCGUACUUUAUAUACUGAGGUGCGCGCGUGACGAGACGCGUGAUUUUCGAUUGGGAAGAGGAACGAUGUCGUUCGCGAAAUCGUUUCGCAUUCCCGGGGCGUCUCGUUCGCAUCGCGCGAUGAGGCGCACCAAGAGCGCACACGCUGGGACCCGAAAGAUGGUGAACUAUGCCUGGUCAGGACGAAGUCAGGGGAAACCCUGAUGGAGGUCCGUAGCGAUUCU
RNAcentral lists this ribosomal RNA (974 nucleotides) under Webbia pabo. RNAcentral's name for it is "partial 28S large subunit ribosomal RNA". It matches the Rfam family "Eukaryotic large subunit ribosomal RNA", at positions 393 to 887 of the family's 3401-position model. Lineage: Eukaryota; Metazoa; Arthropoda; Insecta; Coleoptera; Curculionidae. The record is from RNAcentral.